RNAcentral lists this ribosomal RNA (775 nucleotides) under uncultured Neocallimastigales. RNAcentral describes it as "partial large subunit ribosomal RNA". It matches the Rfam family "Eukaryotic large subunit ribosomal RNA", at positions 20 to 643 of the family's 3401-position model. The record is from RNAcentral. Lineage: Eukaryota; Fungi; Neocallimastigomycota; Neocallimastigomycetes; Neocallimastigales.
UACUAGAGUAGCACUCGCAUAUCAAUAAGCGGAGGAAAAGAAACUAACAAGGAUUCCCCUAGUAACGGCGAGUGAAGCGGGAAGAGCUCAAAUUUGAAAUCUUCAAGGUUUUACCUUGACGAAUUGUAGUUUAAAGAAGUGUUUUCUGUUAGAGAGGUGGUAAAAGUUCUUUGGAAUAGGACAUCAUAGAGGGUGAGAAUCCCGUAUUUGAUCACUUUCUACUAACGUUGUGAUACACUUUCAAAGAGUCGGAUUGUUUGGGAAUGCAGUCCAAAAUGGGUGGUAAAUUUCAUCUAAAGCUAAAUAUUGGCGAGAGACCGAUAGCGAACAAGUACCGUGAGGGAAAGAUGAAAAGAACUUUGAAAAGAGAGUUAAACAGUACGUGAAAUUGUCAAAAGGGAAGCGUUUGACACCAGUGUUGUUUUUCCGAAAAUCAAUUACGAAUGUUUUAUUUUUGAGAAGUUAUGACUUCAUCGGCUUGCUUCUCUCUUAUCGAAACUUUCUUAAUGCACUUUUCGGUUAACAAGUCAACAUCAAUUUCUUUUGUUGUAAAAGGGUAUGAGGAAGGUGGCUUUCUUUUCGGAGAAAGUGUUUAUAGCCUUGUGCCUCUGCAAUCGGAGAGAUUGAGGUCUGCAGCGUAGAUCCUUCGGGGUUAGAUACGUUUGUGCUAAGUUAUAGCUUUUCAUAGACAACUUGUUGACUAUGUUUAGUCUUGUAGCUUACUCGCUUACGCUAUUUUACCUACGCUUAGGAUGUUGAAGAUGUAGCACAUCAU